This 496-nucleotide ribosomal RNA is filed under the name uncultured bacterium. Its description in RNAcentral is "partial 16S ribosomal RNA". It matches the Rfam family "Bacterial small subunit ribosomal RNA", at positions 28 to 507 of the family's 1533-position model. The record is from RNAcentral.
GACGAACGCUGGCGGCGUGCCUAAUACAUGCAAGUUGAGCGCUGAAGGUUGGUACUUGUACCGACUGGAUGAGCAGCGAACGGGUGAGUAACGCGUGGGGAAUCUGCCUUUGAGCGGGGACAACAUUCGGAAACGAAUGCUAAUACCGCAUAAAAACUUUAAACACAAGUUUUAAGUUUGAAAGAUGCAAUUGCAUCACUCAAAGAUGAUCCCGCGUUGUAUUAGCUAGUUGGUGAGGUAAAGGCUCACCAAGGCGAUGAUACAUAGCCGACCUGAGAGGGUGAUCGGCCACAUUGGGACUGAGACACGGCCCAAACUCCUACGGGAGGCAGCAGUAGGGAAUCUUCGGCAAUGGACGAAAGUCUGACCGAGCAACGCCGCGUGAGUGAAGAAGGUUUUCGGAUCGUAAAACUCUGUUGGUAGAGAAGAACGUUGGUGAGAGUGGAAAGCUCAUCAAGUGACGGUAACUACCCAGAAAGGGACGGCUAACUACGUG